UUUCCCUUGAUUUUGUCCCAUUGUCUUGCAUUCAACAUAAAUUUAACGAGAAAUUACGUCCUUUCUAAGUGUGGGGUGUUUUAAAGUUCUAUUCACUUGGUACAGUUCCCAUUCAGUUGGUGAGUACUCCGCGCAGUGCAACGUAUACACACAUAACUCGAAUUGUGACAGGCAAAAUGGUGGUGACCUAUUAAUAACAUCCGUCCAAUUCUCCCUCGCUUUUCCAUUCAGUCUCCAACUAACUGCAAGUUGCACAGAUGGCCAUCUAAAGGGUAAAUUGGUGUUAUAGCUUUAGAGAUCGUUUCGAAUCACAUUGACAAUCAUGCGAAACGUUCUCCGAAGCAAAAACUCAUACAAGUAACGAUUUCCGAACAGUCGAAAUGUUUAAGUUGAAUUGUCUUACGGACAGUAAGAUGAGUACGACUAUUUGGAAAUCACAAACGAAUUGUUUUCAUGAUUGACACGCUUGUCAAGCUGCAAAACAAAAUGAAAGAAAUACAAUACAAAAAGCAAAUAUCUAUGAACGCAACAUUGUACUAGUCGCACUGAGAACUAAAGUCUUAAAAGACGUGUAAAAUGUUGCAAAUUAAGCAAAUAUAUAUGCAUAUAUGGGUAACGUUUUACGCGCCUUAACCAGUCAAAACACUAAAUAAAUUGGCCAAUUUCAUAUAACUAGUGAAAUGUUAUACGAAACUUGCCAAUUGUCAAAUAAUCCAGAUCUAUUUAGAGCAAGAUGGCAAUAGAUAGGUGAUCUCCCUCGUAUACGAGUCUUGAAUGAAAAGAGAAGGCGAACCGUGCUGAAUUAGAGUGAGAUGGCCAUAUUACUUACCUACUCUAUAAAAAAAUACGUUUAAAUAUUUCAUAUCCGCCAUUUUGUUGGCGCUAAAUUCGAAAUUCGAGGUGCUUUUAAGGCUGCCAUCUUGUCUUUUAGGGUGACCAGCAUUGCCAUUUGUAUUAUAUAUUACAAAUAAAAACUUAAUUGCCAUUAAAAAUAAA
Molecule: long non-coding RNA, 996 nt
Organism: Drosophila santomea
Lineage: Eukaryota; Metazoa; Arthropoda; Insecta; Diptera; Drosophilidae
Exons: 2
Source: RefSeq, a predicted model, not a curated record